UGGUUUAACAAGUUGAGCUGCAGCAGUCAUGAUCUUAGAUCCUGUAGGUCCACUUCCUGUAAAUGAAAUCUUGUCCACAUGAGGAUGAGAUGCCAAAGGACCACCAGCUUCAGGCCCCAAUCCUGUUAAAAUGUUAAGGGCACCAGAAGGAAGACCAAUCUCUCUACAGAUCUCACCCAACUCCAAACAGGUAAUUGAUGCUAGUUCAGAUGGCUUAAGUAUUGCUGCACAACCAGCAGCCAGAGCAGGGGCAACUUUCCAUAUGGCCAUUAACAAUGGAUAAUUCCAUGGAGUUAUCAAUCCCACAACACCAAGAGGUUCUCUAAGAACAUAACUUUUAUAUGAAUCUGAAUUAAGAUUAACCGGAGUCAUCCUUCUCGAAUCCAAAGCUUCAGCAAGGCCUGCAUAGUACUCAAAACAUCCUGCAACGUCAUCCAUAUCUGCAGCAGACUCAUACAAUGUUUUUCCACUAUCAAGGGAUUCAAGUGUUGCAAGUACGGAUUUCUUCUCCAGUACCUUAGCAGCAAUA
This 529-nucleotide unclassified non-coding RNA is filed under the name Hevea brasiliensis (rubber tree). The record is from RNAcentral. Lineage: Eukaryota; Viridiplantae; Streptophyta; Magnoliopsida; Malpighiales; Euphorbiaceae.